RNAcentral lists this transfer-messenger RNA (339 nucleotides) under Magnetococcales bacterium. Its description in RNAcentral is "partial transfer-messenger RNA". It matches the Rfam family "transfer-messenger RNA". From Rfam's summary of the family: Bacterial tmRNA, also known as 10Sa RNA or SsrA, is named for its dual tRNA and mRNA-like properties. Lineage: Bacteria; Pseudomonadati; Pseudomonadota; Magnetococcia; Magnetococcales. The record is from RNAcentral.
GGGGGUGAAACGGCUUCGACGGGGUAUGGAACGGUUUUGGAGGCGACCCGGGAUGGCACCGCCGUAAUGGGCCGGCAACUUCAAUUGCCAACGACGAGCAUUACGCUCCGGCUCUCGCAGCCGCGUAAGCGGUUGUGAGAGCGGGGUCCGGAUCCGGACCCGGCAACAGAAGCCUUCGGGCAGGGUCAGGCCGGAACGGUGGAUGCCGGUUGAAAUAAAGGGCCACCCAGUUCUUCCGAGGUAACGGAGGUUCCGCCGCCUGCCGGUCUGCAAUGGCGACGGAGAACAGCACCGGCGAAAUGGUCGUGAUUCCUCCUGGCCAACUACAUAUUGCGGACG